Girardinichthys multiradiatus is the source of this 714-nucleotide long non-coding RNA. RefSeq lists it as uncharacterized. The transcript is spliced from 2 exons. The record is from RefSeq and is a predicted model, not a curated record. Lineage: Eukaryota; Metazoa; Chordata; Actinopteri; Cyprinodontiformes; Goodeidae.
UAUACAAUUUUAUAGCCCUACAUGUGCUAAUACAGCUGUAACAUUGACUUGUAAGAGCUUGUUCUUUAAUUGCUGAUGUUGGCCAACACUUUAAUGGUCUGCAAUUCUGUGUAGUCCUUGCCAGAACAUCAACUAGCAACAUCGAUAUCGGAUUUUUAGCAAGCAUACAACCUUUAGAUCUAAUUAUACAUAUAUAUAUAUAUAUAUAUAUACCUAUUGUCACAGUCUGUUUUUCAAUUUUCCUGCUACUAACUUUCUCUCACCCCUAAGAGGCCCUGGAGCUGCAGGCCGGAGGUUUGACAGUUGUACGUCGUUGCCUCAUCAGCUGGAGGACCAUAUGAGGGUGGUUCGCUGGCUCUUCUACGCCUGAGUGUUUUGCCUUCUGUGGUAGUGUUAACCUGGCCAAGAUCCCCUUGUUUUGAGCCUUGAUUAAUUGUCUGUAUCUUCCCUUCGUCUUAGGCUGUUCAAGCCGAGCCGCCGAGCUGGGUUUUCUCCCUCUGGGACUCACCUCCCGUCAAGAUUGGAUUCUGCUGCGCCUGGCAGCCGCCCUUGCGAGUCCUCCAGUCUGAAAGCGCAACCUGUCCACCCACCUUGCUCACCUGGAACAUCGGAGCGCUCCAGCCAGUUCUGCGCAGGGUCACGCCCAGACAGCUUGACUCCUGACCACUCUGCUCGCCUCGUUCCUGAAACUGAGAAAUAAAACAGUAAAUCUAC